RNAcentral lists this ribosomal RNA (494 nucleotides) under uncultured bacterium. RNAcentral describes it as "bacterial SSU rRNA". It matches the Rfam family "Bacterial small subunit ribosomal RNA", at positions 44 to 523 of the family's 1533-position model. The record is from RNAcentral.
GUGCUUAACACAUGCAAGUCGAACGAAGCUUGAUCCCACGAUUCCUUUCGGGGUGGACGGGUGAUAUGACUGAGUGGCGGACGGGUGAGUAACGCGUGGGCGAACCUGCCUCAUACAGGGGGAGUAACAGUUAGAAAUGACUGCUAAGACCGCAUAAGACCACAGCACCGCAUGGUGGAGUGGUAAAAGACUCCGGUGGUAUGAGAUGGGCCCGCGUCUGAUUAGCUAGUUGGUGAGGUAACGGACGUCUACCAACGGCAACGAUCAGUAGCCGGCUUGUAGAGAGUGAACGGCCACAUUGGGACGUGAGACACGGCCCAAACUACCUACGGGAGGGCAGCAGUGGGGAAUAUUGCACAAUGGGGGAAACCCUGAUGCAGCGACGCCGCGUGAGUGAAGAAGUAUUUCGGUAUGUAAAGCUCUAUCAGCAGGGAAGAAAAUGACGGUACCUGACUAAGAAGCCCCGGCUAACUACGUGCCAGCAGCCGCGGUAA